Molecule: long non-coding RNA, 235 nt
Filed under: Nicotiana benthamiana
Lineage: Eukaryota; Viridiplantae; Streptophyta; Magnoliopsida; Solanales; Solanaceae
Description: long non-coding RNA (NBEN_LNC002146)
Source: RNAcentral
AAGAGCAAGACAAUAAGGAAAAAUAACUUGAUAUUGAAUUUGAAAUAGAGGGAUUAUUAGUUAAUAGUUAUAAUGUGACCAGGAGGUCACGGGUUCGAGUGGUGGAAACAGCCUCUUGCAGAGAUGUAGGGUAAGGCUACGUACAAUAGACUCUUGUGUUCCGGCCCUUCCCCGGACCCUGCGCAUAGCGAGAUCUUAAUGCACGGGGCUGCACUUAUUUUUUUGUUAUAAUGUU